This 301-nucleotide ribosomal RNA is filed under the name uncultured bacterium. RNAcentral describes it as "partial 16S ribosomal RNA". It matches the Rfam family "Bacterial small subunit ribosomal RNA", at positions 509 to 809 of the family's 1533-position model. The record is from RNAcentral.
CAGCCGCCGCGGUAAUACAGAGGGUGCGAGCGUUAAUCGGAUUUACUGGGCGUAAAGCGUGCGUAGGCGGCUAAUUGAGUCGGAUGUGAAAUCCCCGAGCUUAACUUGGGAAUUGCAUUCGAUACUGGUUAGCUAGAGUGUGGGAGAGGAUGGUAGAAUUCCAGGUGUAGCGGUGAAAUGCGUAGAGAUCUGGAGGAAUACCGAUGGCGAAGGCAGCCAUCUGGCCUAACACUGACGCUAAGGUACGAAAGCAUGGGGAGCAAACAGGAUUAGAUACCCGAGUAGUCCCUGUCUCUUAUAA